RNAcentral lists this ribosomal RNA (253 nucleotides) under uncultured bacterium. RNAcentral's name for it is "partial 16S ribosomal RNA". It matches the Rfam family "Bacterial small subunit ribosomal RNA", at positions 524 to 776 of the family's 1533-position model. The record is from RNAcentral.
UACAGAGGGUGCGAGCGUUAAUCGGAAUUACUGGGCGUAAAGGGUGCGUAGGUGGUUUAGUAAGUUAGAUGUGAAAUUCCUGGGCUUAACCUGGGGACUGCGUCUGAUACUGCAAAGCUAGAGUACUGUAGAGGGAAGUGGAAUUUCCGGUGUAGCAGUGAAAUGCGUAGAUAUCGGAAGGAACAUCAGUGGCGAAGGCGACUUCCUGGACAGAUACUGACACUGAGGCACGAAAGCGUGGGGAGCAAACAGG